UGCUGACUGAAAGAAAUAAGCAGUUCAAAAGACAGUGCGAUAUAAAUUCAGUAUCUGGCAUCGUUGGUUUUUUUGCUUUGUGCAUGUCAGACCUGGUAUUUCUACUGAUACAGUA
Small nucleolar RNA from Cervus hanglu yarkandensis (Yarkand deer), 115 nucleotides. NCBI's taxonomy places the organism in Eukaryota, Metazoa, Chordata, Mammalia, Artiodactyla, Cervidae. The record is from Ensembl.